This is a long non-coding RNA of Oncorhynchus tshawytscha (Chinook salmon), 848 nucleotides long. RefSeq lists it as uncharacterized. The record is from RefSeq and is a predicted model, not a curated record. The transcript has 2 exons. Lineage: Eukaryota; Metazoa; Chordata; Actinopteri; Salmoniformes; Salmonidae.
AGUGGAGAUGAAACAGCUGUUUGUCAGCUUGUGCAGAUGGAGAGAUGGUCAAGGUAUUGCCAACCGCCUGUCCAAAAGGCUUGCCACGGUCGUUAGUAGCACACAAAAAAUGUGAAGGACUACAACCUGAGGAGACAAGGUUUGUCCUCACAGCUCCCACAGGCCCUGGUGUAUGAGGAUGCAGUGCAGGUGGACAGCACUGUUUGGUCCUGGAGAGCAGGAGGAGCAGAGGAUGAUGAGGAGUUUCACCUCAAACAAAGGCCCUUUGUGCUCCAUCCCCUCGGGCGUGGGAAGAGAAGCGGUACAAUGAGGAUGAUGUCUUCACUGCCAAGAAGUUCUACUCAGUUCUACGCAGAAACUGAUUGUGGAGGCCAGAGCAAGAUCGAUUUUGUCUUGGGGCAAGAGCUGUCCUUGCUGGAAAUCUUGAUGAGCUCCAGCAGGCAGAAGGACAAUGUGAAUCUUUCAGAGGGGCUUUUAUUGAGGACAGUGGCAAAAACUUUGAAGUGGAGGACAUCGAGGAAGUGGAUGAGGAUGAUGACUAUUAUGAUGAUGAUGGCGAUGACAGUGACAGUAAUAUUGAUUGAGGAAUAGAUUGAGGCUGAGGGUUGCGGUGUCCAUUAUGUUUUAAUUUAUGUCAUUGUAUUCGGCAAGUAGCCUAGUGGCUAAAGCAAUGGACUAGUAACCGAAAGGUUGCAAGAUUGCAUUCCCGAGCUGACAAGGUAAAAAUCUGUCGUUCUGCCCCGAACAAGGCAGUUAACCCACUGUUCCUAGGCCGUCAUUGAAAAUAAGAAUUAGUUCUUAACGGACUUGCCUAGUUAAGUAAAAUAAAUUCCUGCCCUUUGUUUACA